AGCCGUUCAAGACUAGGACGUUGAUAGGCAGGGUGUGUAAGUGCUGUAAGGCAUUGAGCUAACCUGUACUAAUUGCUCGAUCGGCUUGACCGUAUUACAUCAA
This 103-nucleotide ribosomal RNA is filed under the name Pseudomonadota bacterium. Its description in RNAcentral is "Proteobacteria bacterium partial 23S ribosomal RNA". It matches the Rfam family "Bacterial large subunit ribosomal RNA", at positions 2833 to 2925 of the family's 2925-position model. The record is from RNAcentral. Lineage: Bacteria; Pseudomonadati; Pseudomonadota.